GAUAGUACCUUACUACUUGGAUAACCGUGGUAAUUCUAGAGCUAAUACAUGCUGAAAACCCCAACUUCGGGAGGGGUGUAUUUAUUAGAUAAAAAACCAACGCCCUUCGGGGCUUCUUGGUGAUUCAUGAUAACUUUACGGAUCGCAUGGCCUUGCGCCGGCGACGGUUCAUUCAAAUUUCUGCCCUAUCAACUUUCGAUGGUAAGGUAUUGGCUUACCAUGGUUUCAACGGGUAACGGGGAAUUAGGGUUCGAUUCCGGAGAGGGAGCCUGAGAAACGGCUACCACAUCCAAGGAAGGCAGCAGGCGCGCAAAUUACCCAAUCCCGACACGGGGAGGUAGUGACAAUAAAUACUGAUACAGGGCUCUUUUGGGUCUUGUAAUUGGAAUGAGUACAAUUUAAACCUCUUAACGAGGAACAAUUGGAGGGCAAGUCUGGUGCCAGCAGCCGCGGUAAUUCCAGCUCCAAUAGCGUAUAUUAAAGUUGUUGCAGUUAAAAAGCUCGUAGUUGAACCUUGGGUCUGGCUGGCAGGUCCGCCUCACCGCGUGUACUUGUCCGGCCGGGCCUUCCUUCUGGAGAACCUCAUGCCCUUCACUGGGCGUGUUGGGGACCAGGACUUUUACUUUGAAAAAAUUAGAGUGUUCAAAGCAGGCCUUUGCUCGAAUACGUUAGCAUGGAAUAAUAGAAUAGGACGUGCGGUCCUAUUUUGUUGGUUUCUAGGACCGCCGUAAUGAUUAAUAGGGACAGUCGGGGGCAUCAGUAUUCAAUUGUCAGAGGUGAAAUUCUUGGAUUUAUUGAAGACUAACUACUGCGAAAGCAUUUGCCAAGGAUGUUUUCAUUAAUCAGUGAACGAAAGUUAGGGGAUCGAAGACGAUCAGAUACCGUCGUAGUCUUAACCGUAAACUAUGCCGACUAGGGAUCGGGCGAAGUUCUUUUUUGACGCGCUC
This 947-nucleotide ribosomal RNA is filed under the name Tintelnotia opuntiae. Its description in RNAcentral is "SSU rRNA". It matches the Rfam family "Eukaryotic small subunit ribosomal RNA", at positions 123 to 1081 of the family's 1831-position model. The record is from RNAcentral. Lineage: Eukaryota; Fungi; Ascomycota; Dothideomycetes; Pleosporales; Phaeosphaeriaceae.